ACCCGGCCGGCUCAGUCAGUAGUGCGUAUGACUCUUGAUCUUGGGGUUGUGGGUUCAAGCUCCACGCUGGGUA
RNAcentral lists this transfer RNA (73 nucleotides) under Felis catus (domestic cat). It matches the Rfam family "tRNA". Rfam says of the family: Transfer RNA (tRNA) molecules are approximately 80 nucleotides in length. Their secondary structure includes four short double-helical elements and three loops (D, anti-codon, and T loops). Lineage: Eukaryota; Metazoa; Chordata; Mammalia; Carnivora; Felidae. The record is from Rfam by way of RNAcentral.